AGGACGAACGCUGGCGGCGCGCUUAACACAUGCAAGUCGAGCGGAAAGGCCCUUCGGGGUACUCGAGCGGCGAACGGGUGAGUAACACGUGGGCAACCUGCCCCUAGCUCUGGGAUAACUCCGGGAAACCGGGGGCUAAUACCGGAUACGAUCUUCCACGGCAUCUCGGAAGAUGGAAAGUUUUUCGGCUAGGGAUGGGCCCGCGGCCUAUCAGCUUGUUGGUGAGGUAACGGCCCACCGAAGGCGACGACGGGUAGCCGGCCUGAGACGGGCGACCGGGCCACGACUGGGACUGAGACACGGCCCAGACUCCUACGGGAGCAGCAGUGGGGAAUAUGCGCAA
This 343-nucleotide ribosomal RNA is filed under the name uncultured soil bacterium. RNAcentral describes it as "bacterial SSU rRNA". It matches the Rfam family "Bacterial small subunit ribosomal RNA", at positions 26 to 371 of the family's 1533-position model. The record is from RNAcentral.